GUACAGGAUGGACCCGCGUCUGAUUAGCUAGUUGGUAAGGUAACGGCUUACCAAGGCGACGAUCAGUAGCCGACCUGGGAGGGUGAUCGGCCACAUUGGAACUGAGACACGGUCCAAACUCCGACGGGAGGCAGCAGUGGGGAAUAUUGCACAAUGGGCGAAAGCCUGAUGCAGCAACGCCGCGGGAGUGAUGAAGGCCUUCGGGUCGUAAAACUCUGUCCUCAAGGAAGAUAAUGACGGUACUUGAGGAGGAAGCCCCGGCUAACUACGUGCCAGCAGCCGCGGUAAUACGUAGGGGGCUAGCGUUAUCCGGAUUUACUGGGCGUAAAGGGUGCGUAGG
This 340-nucleotide ribosomal RNA is filed under the name Clostridioides difficile. Its description in RNAcentral is "bacterial SSU rRNA". It matches the Rfam family "Bacterial small subunit ribosomal RNA", at positions 218 to 575 of the family's 1533-position model. Lineage: Bacteria; Bacillati; Bacillota; Clostridia; Peptostreptococcales; Peptostreptococcaceae. The record is from RNAcentral.